AAACUGAAGAGUUUGAUCAUGGCUCAGAUUGAACGCUGGCGGCAGGCCUAACACAUGCAAGUCGAGCGGUAACAGGGGGUGCUUGCACCCCGCUGACGAGCGGCGGACGGGUGAGUAAUGCAUAGGAAUCUGCCCGGUAGUGGGGGAUAACCUGGGGAAACCCAGGCUAAUACCGCAUACGUCCUACGGGAGAAAGGGG
RNAcentral lists this ribosomal RNA (199 nucleotides) under Halomonas sp. SpR8. RNAcentral describes it as "partial 16S ribosomal RNA". It matches the Rfam family "Bacterial small subunit ribosomal RNA", at positions 1 to 209 of the family's 1533-position model. The record is from RNAcentral. Lineage: Bacteria; Pseudomonadati; Pseudomonadota; Gammaproteobacteria; Oceanospirillales; Halomonadaceae.